AACGAAAGCUGGCGGCAUGCUUAACAAGUGCAAGUCGAACGAGUCCUUCGGGUCUAGCGGCGCACGGGGGCGUAACGCGUGGGGACAUGCCCUUAGGUACGGGACAACGUCGGGAAACUGACGCUAAUACCGUAUAAUAUCUCUGGAACAAAGAUUUAACGCCUAAGGAUUGUCUGGCGUUAGAUAAGGAAGUUGGGGGGGUAAGGGCCUACCAGGCCGACGAUCUAUAGGGGGGCUGAGAGGAUGAUCCCACACACUGGAACUGAGAAACGGUCCAGAAUCCUACAGGAGGCAGCAGUAAGGAAUAUUGGACAAUGGGCGAAAGCCUGAUCCAGCCAUGCCGCGUGAGUGAUGAAGGCCUUAGGGUUGUAAAGCUCUUUUAGAUGGGAAGAUAAUGACUGUACCAUCAGAAUAAGCCCCGGCUAAAUUCGUGCCAGCCGCCGCAGUAA
Molecule: ribosomal RNA, 449 nt
Filed under: uncultured bacterium
Lineage: Bacteria
Description: partial 16S ribosomal RNA
Rfam family: Bacterial small subunit ribosomal RNA
Source: RNAcentral